This 523-nucleotide ribosomal RNA is filed under the name uncultured bacterium. Its description in RNAcentral is "bacterial SSU rRNA". It matches the Rfam family "Bacterial small subunit ribosomal RNA", at positions 777 to 1297 of the family's 1533-position model. The record is from RNAcentral.
AAUAGAUACCCGGGUAGUCCACGCCGUAAACGAUGAGUGCUAAGUGUUAGAGGGUUUCCGCCCUUUAGUGCUGCAGCUAACGCAUUAAGCACUCCGCCUGGGGAGUACGGCCGCAAGGCUGAAACUCAAAGGAAUUGACGGGGGCCCGCACAAGCGGUGGAGCAUGUGGUUUAAUUCGAAGCAACGCGAAGAACCUUACCAGGUCUUGACAUCCUCUGCCAACCCUAGAGAUAGGGGCGUUCCCCUUCGGGGGACAGAGUGACAGGUGGUGCAUGGUUGUCGUCAGCUCGUGUCGUGAGAUGUUGGGUUAAGUCCCGCAACGAGCGCAACCCUUGAUCUUAGUUGCCAGCAUUCAGUUGGGCACUCUAAGGUGACUGCCGGUGACAAACCGGAGGAAGGUGGGGAUGACGUCAAAUCAUCAUGCCCCUUAUGACCUGGGCUACACACGUGCUACAAUGGAUGGUACAAAGAGCUGCGAACCCGCGAGGGUAAGCGAAUCUCAUAAAGCCAUUCUCAGUUCGGA